UGAAACAUGAGAUAGAUGAAAGGCUCCUAUUUCGAAGCUUGUCCGUACACUGGAGCAAUUUAAUGAUGCAAUAUUGUCAGCAAGAGGCAGGUGGGAAAUACCACGUGUGUACGACCUUCCUCCUUUAACAGCCACUCACCAUGUAUUUAUGUCCGCCACAUUAAAAAGUAUGGAUCUAAGAAGCACUCUCGUUGUUUGAAAGAACCAGACGCUGUUAGCAUUGCUGCACAAUGAUAAUGGUCCAGUUUGAAACGCUAAUGCAAGUGGUUUAGUUAGGAUAAAUAGAAAGGACAACCAGUUUGAAAUGUUCACAUAUCACGAUGAGGUAGUAACAUACAUGAUGUAGCCAAUUUAGUCUAACGUAGUGAAAAAUGAUCAUAACUUGCAUAACAG
RNAcentral lists this long non-coding RNA (393 nucleotides) under Prunus persica (peach). RNAcentral's name for it is "long non-coding RNA (PPER_LNC000182)". The record is from RNAcentral. Lineage: Eukaryota; Viridiplantae; Streptophyta; Magnoliopsida; Rosales; Rosaceae.